Molecule: ribosomal RNA, 523 nt
Filed under: uncultured bacterium
Lineage: Bacteria
Description: partial 16S ribosomal RNA
Rfam family: Bacterial small subunit ribosomal RNA
Source: RNAcentral
GACGAACGCUGGCGGCGUGCCUAAUACAUGCAAGUCGAACGCUUUUUCUUUCACCGGAGCUUGCUCCAUCGAAAGAAAAAGAGUGGCGAACGGGUGAGUAACACGUGGGUAACCUGCCCAUCAGAGGGGGAUAACACUUGGAAACAGGUGCCAAUACCGUAUAACACUAUUUUCCGCAUGGAAGAAAGUUGAAAGGCGCUUUUGCGUCACUGAUUGAUGGACCCGCGGUGCAUUGGCUAGUUGGUGAGGUAACGGCUCACCAAGGCAACGAUGCAUAGCCGACCGGAGAGGGUGAUCGGCCACACUGGGACUGAGACACGGCCCAGACUCCUACGGGAGGCAGCAGUAGGGAAUCUUCGGCAAUGGACGAAAGUCUGACCGAGCAACGCCGCGUGAGUGAAGAAGGUUUUCGGAUCGUAAAACUCUGUUGUUAGAGAAGAACAAGGAUGAGAGUAAAAUGUUCAUCCCUUGACGGUAUCUAACCAGAAAGCCACGGCUAACUACGUGCCAGCAGCCGCCGUAA